GUGUGGGCACCCGGGGCUGGGGACAGGGCAGGGCUGGGACAGCGGGAUGGGACAGCAGGGCUGUGGAUGCAGCGUCCAUCCUGUGUCCAUCCCUGUGUCCAUCCCUCUGUCCAUCCUGUGUCCAUCCCUCUGUCCAUCCCUGUCCAUCCCUGUGUCCAUCCUGUGUCCAUCCCUCUGUCCAUCCCUGUGUCCCUCCCUGUCCCCCCCAUGUCCCUCCCUGUCCAUCCCUGUGUCCAUCCUCUGUCCAUCCCUGUGUCCAUCCCUGUCCAUCCUCUGUCCAUCCCUGUGUCCAUCCCUCUGUCCAUCCUGUGUCCAUCCCUGUGUCCAUCCCUGUGUCCAUCCCUGUCCAUCCCUGUGUCCAUCCUGUGUCCAUCCCUCUGUCCAUCCGUGUGUCCAUCCCAGUCCAUCCUCUGUCCAUCCCUGUCCCUCCCUGUCCAUCCCAUCCAUCCUGUGUCCAUCCCUCUGUCCAUCCCUGUCCAUCCCUGUGUCCCUCCCUGUCCCCCCCAUGUCCCUCCCUGUCCAUCCCUGUGUCCAUCCCUCUGUCCAUCCUCUGUCCAUCCCUGUGUCCAUCCCUGUGUCCAUCCCUGUGUCCAUCCCUGUGUCCAUCCCUGUCCAUCCCUGUGUCCAUCCCAAUCCA
Molecule: long non-coding RNA, 637 nt
Filed under: Zonotrichia albicollis (white-throated sparrow)
Lineage: Eukaryota; Metazoa; Chordata; Aves; Passeriformes; Passerellidae
Description: lncRNA (ENSZALG00000001260.1)
Source: RNAcentral